UACGUAGGUGGCAAGCGUUAUCCGGAUUUACUGGGCGUAAAGGGAGCGUAGGCGGACUUUUAAGUGAGAUGUGAAAUACCCGGGCUCAACUUGGGUGCUGCAUUUCAAACUGGAAGUCUAGAGUGCAGGAGAGGAGAAUGGAAUUCCUAGUGUAGCGGUGAAAUGCGUAGAGAUAUGGAGGAACACCAGUGGCGAAGGCGGCUUCCUGGUCUGUAACUGACACUGAGGCGCGGAAGCGUGGGGAGCAAACAGGAUUAGAUACCCU
Molecule: ribosomal RNA, 265 nt
Filed under: uncultured prokaryote
Description: partial 16S ribosomal RNA
Rfam family: Bacterial small subunit ribosomal RNA
Source: RNAcentral